This 298-nucleotide ribosomal RNA is filed under the name uncultured bacterium. Its description in RNAcentral is "partial 16S ribosomal RNA". It matches the Rfam family "Bacterial small subunit ribosomal RNA", at positions 30 to 326 of the family's 1533-position model. The record is from RNAcentral.
AUUGAACGCUGGCGGCAGGCCUAACACAUGCAAGUCGAGCGGUAGAGAGGUGCUUGCAUCUCUUGAGAGCGGCGGACGGGUGAGUAAUGCCUAGGAAUCUGCCUAGUGGUGGGGGGAUAACGUUCGGAAACGGACGCUAAUACCGCAUACGUCCUACGGGAGAAAGCGGGGGAUCUUCGGACCUCGCGCCAUUAGAUGAGCCUAGGUCGGAUUAGCUAGUUGGUGAGGUAAUGGCUCACCAAGGCGACGAUCCGUAACUGGGUCUGAGAGGAUGAUCAGUCACACUGGAACUGAGACA